GUGGGGAAUUUUGGACAAUGGGCGCAAGCCUGAUCCAGCGACGCCGCGUGGAGGACGAAGGCCUUCGGGUUGUAAACUCCUUUUGGAGGGGAAGAAUAAAUUGACGGUACCCUCAGAAAAAGCCACGGCUAACUACGUGCCAGCAGCCGCGGUAAUACGUAGGUGGCGAGCGUUACUCGGAAUUACUAGGCGUAAAGCGUAUGUAGGUGGUUAGAUAAGUCUAUGGUGAAAUUUCCUGGCUUAACUGGGAAGGGACAUAGCUACUAUCUGGCUUGAGUGUGGGAGGGGGAGACGGAAUUUCUGGUGUAGCGGUGAAAUGCGUAGAUAUCAGGAGGAACACCGAUGGCGAAAGCAGUCUCCUGGCCCAAUACUGACACUGAGGUACGAAAGCUAGGGUAGCAAACAGGAUUAGAAACCCCGGUAGUCC
This 427-nucleotide ribosomal RNA is filed under the name uncultured bacterium. RNAcentral's name for it is "partial 16S ribosomal RNA". It matches the Rfam family "Bacterial small subunit ribosomal RNA", at positions 354 to 796 of the family's 1533-position model. The record is from RNAcentral.